AAGCAUAUCAAUAAGCGGAGGAAAAGAAACCAACAGGGAUUGCCUCAGUAACGGCGAGCGAAGCGGCAAAAGCUCAAAUUUGAAAGCUAGCGUCUUUUAGGCGUUCGCAUUGUAAUUUGAAGAUGGCAACUUUGGUGGCGGCUCUUGCACAUGUUCCUUGGAACAGGACAUCAUAGAGGGUGAGAAUCCCGUACAUGGUGAGAGUACCGUCGCUUUGUAAAGUGCUUUCUAAGAGUCGAGUUGUUUGGGAAUGCAGCUCUAAGUGGGUGGUAAAUUCCAUCUAAGGCUAAAUAUAGGCGAGAGACCGAUAGCGAACAAGUACAGUGAUGGAAAGAUGAAAAGAACUUUGAAAAGAGAGUGAAAAAGUACGUGAAAUUGUUGAAAGGGAAGGGCUUGAGAUCAGUCUUGGCUUGUAGUGAUCAACUGUCUUUCGGGACUGUGCACUCGCUACUUGCUGGGUCAGCAUCAGUUUUGGUGGUAGGAUAAGAACAAUUGAAUGUGGCUUUCCUUCGGGGAAGUGUUAUAGCUUUUGUUGAUACUGCCAACCGGGACUGAGGACCGCGCUUCGUGCUAGGAUGCUGACAUAAUGAUCUUAAGCCA
Molecule: ribosomal RNA, 600 nt
Filed under: Blastobotrys sp.
Lineage: Eukaryota; Fungi; Ascomycota; Dipodascomycetes; Dipodascales; Trichomonascaceae
Description: partial large subunit ribosomal RNA
Rfam family: Eukaryotic large subunit ribosomal RNA
Source: RNAcentral